ACUUUAUUGUAUGAUCGAUCGCCAGUAUUUGCACAACCUUCACAGCAACACAAUUAGCCUGUUCUUGCAGCAGUUGAUUUACGCGGAAACAUUUGUUAAGCAAAAUCUCCAUCUCGUUCGUCCAUGAUGUCUGAGCGACGCUAUGGCUACUUUCGUUGUCCAAAGUGCGGCGCCCACUGGGAGAGUUCCCAUGUCUACUGUCACGGUUCCAAGGCUGUUUACGGACAAGAAUGCAAGAGGUGUGGAACUAACUGCCUCCCAUUCAAGGUAGAGCCUAUCGUCUGCUCCCAGUGCAGACAACAUGCAUAUGCACCAGAGAAGACCGAAAGAAGAGGAAUGUUAACCCCUCCAAACCUCAUAGGUCUGAACUCUGCGAGAAGUGCAAGUCAGGAAUAAAAUGUCAAUGGUGAUAUUUCAGCCUUGACACUUGACAGCCUGUAGCACCAGACACGCUUACUUUCCUUAAAGAUUCCAUUUUCUGUGAUGACGAACGUUUUGGAUAAUUGUAAGAACUGUAAUUAGAAAUGUAUUAAACCUUAUCGCCCACCCUA
Long non-coding RNA from Haliotis rubra (blacklip abalone), 551 nucleotides. RefSeq lists it as uncharacterized. The transcript has 2 exons. NCBI's taxonomy places the organism in Eukaryota, Metazoa, Mollusca, Gastropoda, Lepetellida, Haliotidae. The record is from RefSeq and is a predicted model, not a curated record.